RNAcentral lists this ribosomal RNA (484 nucleotides) under uncultured bacterium. RNAcentral describes it as "partial 16S ribosomal RNA". It matches the Rfam family "Bacterial small subunit ribosomal RNA", at positions 30 to 507 of the family's 1533-position model. The record is from RNAcentral.
AUUGAACGCUGGCGGCAGGCCUAACACAUGCAAGUCGAGCGGAUGAAGGGAGCUUGCUCCUGGAUUCAGCGGCGGACGGGUGAGUAAUGCCUAGGAAUCUGCCUGGUAGUGGGGGAUAACGUCCGGAAACGGGCGCUAAUACCGCAUACGUCCUGAGGGAGAAAGUGGGGGAUCUUCGGACCUCACGCUAUCAGAUGAGCCUAGGUCGGAUUAGCUAGUUGGUGGGGUAAAGGCCUACCAAGGCGACGAUCCGUAACUAGUCUGAGAGGAUGAUCAGUCACACUGGAACUGAGACACGGUCCAGACUCCUACGGGAGGCAGCAGUGGGGAAUAUUGGACAAUGGGCGAAAGCCUGAUCCAGCCAUGCCGCGUGUGUGAAGAAGGUCUUCGGAUUGUAAAGCACUUUAAGUUGGGAGGAAGGGCAGUAAGUUAAUACCUUGCUGCUUUGACGUUACCAACAGAAUAAGCACCGGCUAACUUCGUG